This 76-nucleotide transfer RNA is filed under the name Olea europaea subsp. europaea. It matches the Rfam family "tRNA". From Rfam's summary of the family: Transfer RNA (tRNA) molecules are approximately 80 nucleotides in length. Their secondary structure includes four short double-helical elements and three loops (D, anti-codon, and T loops). Lineage: Eukaryota; Viridiplantae; Streptophyta; Magnoliopsida; Lamiales; Oleaceae. The record is from Rfam by way of RNAcentral.
UCUUCAGUAGCUUAGUGGUAAAGCGAGCGGUCAGCUGUUAACAGAUUGGUUGUAGGUUCGAAUCCUACUUGGGGGU